ACUGCACCAUCAUUGUUUUCGUUUUAUCUCCCUACUUGCUGUCUGUUACUGCACCAAAGAGGAAACUCACCGCAUAUCCCAGAAGCGGGGAUCAUACCGCUGCAAGCUAUUCACACCAGAGCUGGAUUAAGCUCUACAAAAAGUGAGUAAGAUCUCUUCUAUUUUUUUUAUCUCUUGGAUCAACCUGUACCAUCACCCUUUUCAUCACUCAUCGCCCUCUUCCAUACAUUCGAAACCUGCAAGGAGCAGAACCCUACAACUCCAGAGACCAACCUAGGAUCCAAGUUCCACUAUACUGGACUCCGUUGUAUUAUUACUACCCCUACCAGGACUUUAAAUUUAAUUUACCUUGCCUAUUGGCGCAGUCCCGUCCUUUUGUUUGUUUGCCAAUCCCUCCCCUGUGCCUGGGAGAUAAUCGAGUGAGCACUCUAUUAAACUUAAUUAUCUCCAGGCAUAAAAAACACAUUUAAAAAAAAAAUACCUUAAAACACACAAAAUCCCUACAAAAGUUACAUCCCCUGAUAGCCCUGAUCUGGGUGACCACCAUAUCCAAAAAUCACCCAGAUUAGGUCAGGGGUUCAGGAACUUCCUUGAAGUCAUAAUUUGACCUAGAGCCCGCAUGGUCCCAUGCCCAAAACAGUUCCAGAGAAUCAGGGCUUGCGAUCGUUCUAGUUCGGUAGUUUAAAAAUGAACAAACUACCAAACAGAGUCAAUAGUCUUGCCCUGGAGCUUGAUCCCCUUGUUCGUGGGAACGUUUUCACUGAACAGCGCCUUUCUGUAGUGUUGUAGAACCGAACGCAGGCGAUGCUGGAAGUCCAGUGGUGUUUGGGGGUUUCUGUGUCCAUUUUCAGUUCCAUGAGAUUCAUGCCCAAACACCGAUGCCUGCUUUCAUGCGAACAAGAUGGCCGCCACCUUGUGGUCAUCCAUAGAAAUUGCGGCCACCCAGACGAACACUUAGAACACUGCAGUGGAAAUUGCGACAAAGUAUCAAUUAGGCUUAACAAGCUCGAGGGUGGUCUCCAGAUUGUGCGGCUGUUCGGUUUCCGAACCAAAUAUAAAAUCCCACGAACCAAGUCUGUUCACAUAGUUUUUAAAGGGCCCAUAGUCUUUUGGUAAGAGGCUGGCCAGCAGGUCCCUGCAAGCACAAGUGACGAGGCUCAGUUCGUCACAUAUAGCUCCAACUUAUUCCGCAGCGAUUUAAAAUAUUAUAAAGGGGAAAAUUUUACAGUAAAUUAGACAAUUGCAAAAUGUUACAGUAUUAAUAGUUUAAUGAGGUCCCUGCUCGAAAGAUCAUACAAUUAUAUGUCAGCCUUUUAGAAGUAGUAGUGGAUAGACAUGUGCAAUUCGUUUUAGUUCUGAAUGUCAAUUCGGACGAAUUUCAGGCAAUUCGGACGUUCAGAGACUUCCAAAUGUCGAAUAGCUGAAUUUCCGAAAUUCCAAAGGGGAAGAAUGAAGAAUGUUACACUGUAUACCAGUUUAAAUAAAAAGUAUACAAACAUAGCCAGGAUUCAGCUGUAAGCAUUUGCAACACUUACAACAUUCAAGUAACACACAUUCAUAUAAAAUGUAAGUUACUUCCAUUACAGUCAAUGGAUGGGGAUGAGUAAGUAGAUAACUCCCUAAUUCCCACUGUAUUAGGGAGCUAUCUACCAAAAGGCUGAAAGACCUAAAUUGGUCUUUCAGCCAAAUUUACUAAUACUAAGUAAAAAUGACUUAGUAUUAGUAAAUAAUCUGCCCCUAUUCGCUAUACCGCGAGUAGGGGCAUGUGUAUUAAACAGUGAGCAGCCUGUGGCUGCUCACUGUUUAAAAAAAAAAAAGUGUCCCCCCCUCCCGAGCCCCCACCCAUGAUGCGCGAGUGGGGGCUUUGGGGCUUUUAAACUAAAGGGGGGACCUAUUGUCCCCCCCCGGCCCCCACCCCUGAGCGGCAGGUGGUGGCCCUAAAGUAAAAUAAGGGGGGGGGCCUAUUGUUCUCCCCCCCAGCCCCCACCCCUGAACAGCGGGUGGGAGCCCUAAAGAAGAAUAAGGGGGGGGACCUAUUGUCCUCCCACUGGCCCCCACCCGUGAGUGGUGGGUGGGGACCCUAAAAUACUUCAAGGGGGGGGACCUAUUGUCCUCCCCCCGGCCCCCACCCCUGAGCGGCGGGUUGAGGCCCUAAAGUGAAAUAAGGGAGGGAUGGGGGACCCAGGCUGCUCACUGUUAAAUAGACAUGCCCCUACUUGCGGUAUAGCGAGUACGGGCAGAAUGUACUAAUACUAAGUAAUUUUUACUUAGUAUUAGUAAAUUUGUCUGAAAGACCAAUUUAGGUCUUUCAUCCUUUUGGUAGAUACCGUGGGAAUUAGGGAGUUAUCUACUAAGCAGCUGAAAAGAACAUCCGAAGUCCCGUAUUUCGGCAUGCCGAACCGAACUGAAUAUUUUCCCCAUGCACAUCCCUAGUAGUGGAUACCGCCAACUCUUGCCCGCCAUACCCGGUUUUAUUUAUUCAAGGGUUGGUAUGUCAUAAUAUAAUAAACAAGGUUCUAAAAGUAAAUAAUUUAGCAGGAAAAUGUCACUGGUUUCCAUGGUGAUUGAUUUACCUUGUCCUGAAGUUAUCUGAUUUAUAUAAAUUAUCCCAAAUGUCUCUUCUUUUUGAAAUAUAACUGCUUACAUUUUUGUGGUUACACAGUGCUUACUAGGAUCUUGGAUAUGUUUUUUUGUUGUUGUUGUGAAGAGCAUAUACUGAUGAAAAUAAAAGGAGUGGGGGGGGGACAGAGGGGGGAGAGGUUGUUGUUCUAGAUUUUUUUUUUUGUUUCUCUGGUUUUUGCAAACUAAUAUCCAGAGUUCUGAAGAAAUGUUUAUUAAAAAAAACAACAUGCUUAUGUUUCAGCAGAUUUUAAUUUCCGGUUGCCUCUUAAUUAGCCUGCAACGGGUGGAGAAUACCCAUGGGUGUCAGCUGUUUGGAUUUUUUAUACAGAAGAAAAGGUCUUUUGAAUGCAAAAUGAGCCACUGAUCUAAUCAAAGGCAUCUGGGGAUGAGAACAUUGGUUUGAACUGUGGCAAAUUUCUUGGUUUGCUACGUAAUCUAUGACCCCCCCAAUCUGAGUUCCUGAUACCAGCCGAGGGACACCAGUAGCUGGUUAGGGAAAACAAACUGUAACUUGCCAUGGCCUUGUGUUUAUUAGCGGUUAUGUAUUCUACUGCUGCUCCUUUGAUUAAAAUCUGAG
Molecule: non-coding RNA, 3199 nt
Organism: Pelobates cultripes (western spadefoot toad)
Lineage: Eukaryota; Metazoa; Chordata; Amphibia; Anura; Pelobatidae
Source: the annotation of a GenBank genome assembly